UCCGGAGUGGUGUAGCGGUAGCACGUCGGGUUUUGGUCCCGAAAGCAGGGGUCCGAAUCCUCUCUCCGGAA
This 71-nucleotide transfer RNA is filed under the name Solirubrobacterales bacterium. RNAcentral's name for it is "tRNA-Gln". It matches the Rfam family "tRNA". From Rfam's summary of the family: Transfer RNA (tRNA) molecules are approximately 80 nucleotides in length. The record is from RNAcentral. Lineage: Bacteria; Bacillati; Actinomycetota; Thermoleophilia; Solirubrobacterales.